UACAGAGGGGGCAAGCGUUGUUCGGAAUUACUGGGCGUAAAGGGCGCGUAGGCGGCCUUCUAAGUCGAACGUGAAAUCCCUCGGCUCAACCGAGGAACUGCGUCCGAUACUGGCAGGCUGGAAUCCGGGAGAGGGAUGUGGAAUUCCAGGUGUAGCGGUGAAAUGCGUAGAUAUCUGGAGGAACACCGGUGGCGAAGGCGGCAUCCUGGACCGGUAUUGACGCUGAGGCGCGAAAGCUAGGGGAGCAAACGGG
This 253-nucleotide ribosomal RNA is filed under the name uncultured bacterium. RNAcentral's name for it is "partial 16S ribosomal RNA". It matches the Rfam family "Bacterial small subunit ribosomal RNA", at positions 524 to 776 of the family's 1533-position model. The record is from RNAcentral.